This 507-nucleotide ribosomal RNA is filed under the name uncultured bacterium. RNAcentral describes it as "bacterial SSU rRNA". It matches the Rfam family "Bacterial small subunit ribosomal RNA", at positions 30 to 526 of the family's 1533-position model. The record is from RNAcentral.
AUUGAACGCUGGCGGCAGGCCUAACACAUGCAAGUCGAGCGGUAGCACAGAGAGCUUGCUCUCGGGUGACGAGCGGCGGACGGGUGAGUAAUGUCUGGGAAACUGCCUGAUGGAGGGGGAUAACUACUGGAAACGGUGGCUAAUACCGCAUAAACUUGCAAAAGCAAAGUGGGGGACCUUCGGGCCUCACGCCAUGAGAUGAACCCAGGUGGGAUUAGCUGGUAGGUGAGGUAAUGGCUAACCUAGGCGACGAUCUCUAACUGGUCUGAGAGGAUGACCAGUCACACUGGGACUGAGACACGGCCCAGACUCCUACGGGAGGCAGCAGUGGGGAAUCUUGCACAAUGGGGGCAACCCUGAUGCAGCCAUGCCGCGUGUAUGAAGAAGGCCUUCGGGUUGUAAAGUACUUUCAGUGAGGAGGAAGUUAGCUGUUUUAAUAGAGCAGUUAAUUGACGUUACUCACAGAAGAAGCACCGGCUAACUCCGUGCCAGCCGCCGCCGUAAAAC